CUCCCUCACUGUGUCUGUGCACCCCCUUAUCUGCUCAGAGCUCCCUCACUGUGUCUGUGCACCCCCUUAUCUGCCCAGUGUACCCUCACUGUGUCUGUGCACCCCAUUAUCUGCUCAGAGCUCCCUCACUGUAUCUGUGCACCCCCUUAUCUGGUCAGAGCUCCCUCACUGUGUCUGUGCCCCCAUUAUCUUAGUGUCUCCCCUCACUGUGUCUGUGCCCCCCAUUAUCUUAG
Pelobates cultripes (western spadefoot toad) is the source of this 233-nucleotide non-coding RNA. NCBI's taxonomy places the organism in Eukaryota, Metazoa, Chordata, Amphibia, Anura, Pelobatidae. The record is from the annotation of a GenBank genome assembly.